Molecule: ribosomal RNA, 758 nt
Filed under: Nocardia farcinica
Lineage: Bacteria; Bacillati; Actinomycetota; Actinomycetes; Mycobacteriales; Nocardiaceae
Description: bacterial SSU rRNA
Rfam family: Bacterial small subunit ribosomal RNA
Source: RNAcentral
GUUUGAUCCUGGCUCAGGACGAACGCUGGCGGCGUGCUUAACACAUGCAAGUCGAGCGGUAAGGCCCUUCGGGGUACACGAGCGGCGAACGGGUGAGUAACACGUGGGUGAUCUGCCCUGUACUUCGGGAUAAGCCUGGGAAACUGGGUCUAAUACCGGAUAUGACCUUACAUCGCAUGGUGUUUGGUGGAAAGAUUUAUCGGUACAGGAUGGGCCCGCGGCCUAUCAGCUUGUUGGUGGGGUAAUGGCCUACCAAGGCGACGACGGGUAGCCGGCCUGAGAGGGCGACCGGCCACACUGGGACUGAGACACGGCCCAGACUCCUACGGGAGGCAGCAGUGGGGAAUAUUGCACAAUGGGCGAAAGCCUGAUGCAGCGACGCCGCGUGAGGGAUGACGGCCUUCGGGUUGUAAACCUCUUUCGACAGGGACGAAGCGCAAGUGACGGUACCUGUAGAAGAAGCACCGGCCAACUACGUGCCAGCAGCCGCGGUAAUACGUAGGGUGCGAGCGUUGUCCGGAAUUACUGGGCGUAAAGAGCUUGUAGGCGGUUUGUCGCGUCGUCCGUGAAAACUUGGGGCUCAACCCCAAGCUUGCGGGCGAUACGGGCAGACUUGAGUACUGCAGGGGAGACUGGAAUUCCUGGUGUAGCGGUGAAAUGCGCAGAUAUCAGGAGGAACACCGGUGGCGAAGGCGGGUCUCUGGGCAGUAACUGACGCUGAGAAGCGAAAGCGUGGGUAGCGAACAGGAUUAGAUACC